GUGGGGCGUGGGGCGUGGGGGGUGGGGGCCUUCUCUCUGUCAGACAGGUGUACAGGUAGACAGGUGAACACGGUUUGCAGGUCGCACUCAUUAGGAGGUCAAGGGGGUUCCUCUGGAGGGGUUGGUGAGAGUCCAGAACCUUUAGCCCAGGUACCACUGAGAGAGACAGAAAGAGAACCGAGGAUUAGAAGAUUUCAACACAGUUUGGCUGGAAUAUAUUAGGUGAGGCCUUCAAACAAAGAGAAUCCAUUUCCAAAUACCAAUCCCAUUUGGAGUGCAACUACUGUGUUUAAGUAUAGUGUUGUCCACUUCAUUCAGGAAAAAGGCAGUAAAGUAACUCCAUCACUAACAUUAAUAAAUACAUUUUUUGUUGGUGAUUGUGUAUGCAGUCUUUUAGGUGUUUGUUUAUACUUUUACUAGGUGUGUAUGUGUGUAUGUGUGUAGUCUUUGAACACGUUGUAUGUGUGUAUGUGUGUAGUCUUUGAACACACUGUAGGUGUGUAUGUGUGUAGUCUUUGAACACUUUGUAGGUGUGUAUGUGUGUAGUCUUUGAACACUUUGUAGGUGUGUAUGUGUGUAGUCUUUGAACACUUUG
Molecule: long non-coding RNA, 595 nt
Organism: Clupea harengus (Atlantic herring)
Lineage: Eukaryota; Metazoa; Chordata; Actinopteri; Clupeiformes; Clupeidae
Source: Ensembl